UACAGAGGUGCCGAGCGUUAGGCGGAAUCACUGGGCUUAAAGGGUGUGUAGGCGGACUUCUAAGUACCUUGUGAAAUCCCACGGCUCACCCGUGGAACUGCUGGGUAUACUGGUCGUCUUGAGCCACCUAGGGGCCAGCGGAACAAAUGGUGGAGCGGUGAAAUGCGUAGAUAUCAUUUGGAACGCCAACGGUGAAAACAGCUGGCUGGGGGUGUGCUGACGCUGAGACACGAAAGCCAGGGGAGCGAACGGG
Molecule: ribosomal RNA, 253 nt
Filed under: uncultured bacterium
Lineage: Bacteria
Description: partial 16S ribosomal RNA
Rfam family: Bacterial small subunit ribosomal RNA
Source: RNAcentral